GGGGAUGUAGCUCAAUUGGUAGAGCAAUUACAAUGCAUGUGAAAGAUCUUGGUCCGACUCCUUGCGUCUCCA
This 72-nucleotide transfer RNA is filed under the name Rosa chinensis. RNAcentral describes it as "sRNA RchiOBHm_Chr2g0100201". It matches the Rfam family "tRNA". From Rfam's summary of the family: Transfer RNA (tRNA) molecules are approximately 80 nucleotides in length. Their secondary structure includes four short double-helical elements and three loops (D, anti-codon, and T loops). The record is from Rfam by way of RNAcentral. Lineage: Eukaryota; Viridiplantae; Streptophyta; Magnoliopsida; Rosales; Rosaceae.